RNAcentral lists this ribosomal RNA (465 nucleotides) under Vreelandella stevensii. RNAcentral's name for it is "partial 16S ribosomal RNA". It matches the Rfam family "Bacterial small subunit ribosomal RNA", at positions 338 to 795 of the family's 1533-position model. The record is from RNAcentral. Lineage: Bacteria; Pseudomonadati; Pseudomonadota; Gammaproteobacteria; Oceanospirillales; Halomonadaceae.
CCUACGGGAGGCUGCAGUGGGGAAUAUUGGACAAUGGGCGAAAGCCUGAUCCAGCCAUGCCGCGUGUGUGAAGAAGGCCUUCAGGUUGUAAAGCACUUUCAGUGGGGAAGAAAGCCUUGGGGCUAAUACCCUCGAGGAAGGACAUCACCCACAGAAGAAGCACCGGCUAACUCCGUGCCAGCAGCCGCGGUAAUACGGAGGGUGCGAGCGUUAAUCGGAAUUACUGGGCGUAAAGCGCGCGUAGGCGGUCUGAUAAGCCGGUUGUGAAAGCCCCGGGCUCAACCUGGGAACGGCAUCCGGAACUGUCAGGCUAGAGUGCAGGAGAGGAAGGUAGAAUUCCCGGUGUAGCGGUGAAAUGCGUAGAGAUCGGGAGGAAUACCAGUGGCGAAGGCGGCCUUCUGGACUGACACUGACGCUGAGGUGCGAAAGCGUGGGUAGCAAACAGGAUUAGAUACCCCUGUAGUC